UAGGGAAUCUUCGGCAAUGGGGGGAACCCUGACCGAGCAACGCCGCGUGAGUGAAGAAGGUUUUCGGAUCGUAAAGCUCUGUUGAUAAGGAAGAACGAGUGUGAGAAUGGAAAGUUCAUACUGUGACGGUACUUAACCAGAAAGGGACGGCUAACUACGUGCCAGCAGCCGCGGUAAUACGUAGGUCCCGAGCGUUGUCCGGAUUUAUUGGGCGUAAAGCGAGCGCAGGCGGUUAGAUAAGUCUGAAGUUAAAGGCAGUGGCUCAACCAUUGUAGGCUUUGGAAACUGUUUAACUUGAGUGCAGAAGGGGAGAGUGGAAUUCCAUGUGUAGCGGUGAAAUGCGUAGAUAUAUGGAGGAACACCGGUGGCGAAAGCGGCUCUCUGGUCUGUAACUGACGCUGAGGCUCGAAAGCGUGGGGAGCGAACAGG
Molecule: ribosomal RNA, 429 nt
Filed under: Bacteroidota bacterium
Lineage: Bacteria; Pseudomonadati; Bacteroidota
Description: Bacteroidetes bacterium partial 16S ribosomal RNA
Rfam family: Bacterial small subunit ribosomal RNA
Source: RNAcentral